UACCUGGUUGAUCCUGCCAGUAGUCAUAUGCUUGUCUUAAAGAUUAAGCCAUGCAUGUGUAAGUAUGAAUAGAUUUAGACUGUGAAACUGUGAAUGGCACGUUAAAUCAAUUAUAGUUUGUUUGAUGGUAUUUACUACUCGGAUAACCGUAGUAAUUCUAGAGCUAAUACGUGGAACAAACCUUGACUUCUGGAAGGGAUGCAUUUAUUAGAUAAAAGGUCGACGCGGGCUUUACUCAUUCCUUUGAUGACUCAUGAUAAUUCGACGGAUCGCAUGGCCUUUGUGUCGGCGACGCAUCAUUCAAAUUUAUGCCCUAUCAACUGUCGAUUGUAGGAUAGUGGCCUACUAUGGUGGUGAUGGGUGACAGAGAAUUAGGGUUCAAUUCUGGAGAGAGAGCCUGAGAAACGGCUACCAGAUCCAAGGAAGGCAGCAGGUGCGCAAAUUACCCAAUCCUAACACGAGGAGGUAGUGACAAUAAAUAACAAUACCAGGUUCUAUGAGUUUGGUAAUUGGAAUAAGUACAAUCUAAAUCCCUUAAUGAGGAUCCAUUGGAGGGCAAGUCUGGUGCCCACCAGCCGCGGUAAUUCCAACUCCAAUAGCGUAUAUUUAAGUUGUUGCAGUUAAAAAGCUCGUAGUUGGACUUAGGGAUGGGUCUGGCGGUCUGCCUCACGGUGAGCACCGGUCUGCUCGUCCCUACUAUCGACGAUGCGCUCUUGGCCUUAAUUGGCUGGGUCGUUCCUCCGACGUUGUUACUUUGAAGAAAUUAGAAUGCUCAAAGCAGGCCUACGCUUGUAUACAUUAGCAUGGGAUAACAUCAUAGGAUUUCGAUCUUAUUAUGUUGGCCUUCGGGAUCGAAGUAAUGAUUAACAGGGGACAGUCAGGGGCAUUCAUAUUUCAUAGUCAGAGGUGAAAUUCUUGGAUUUAUGAUAGACGGAAAACUGUGAAAGCAUUUGCCAAGGAUGUUUUCAUUAAUCAAGAAUAAAAGUUGGGGGCUCGAAGACUAUCAGAUACUGUCCCAGUCUCAACCAUAAAUGAUGCUGACCAGGGAUCGAUGGAUGUUGCUUUUAGGACUCCGCCGACACCUUAUGAGAAACCAAAGUCUUUGGGUUCUGGGGGGAGUAUGGUCGCAAGGCUGAAACUUAAAGGAAUUGACGGAAGGGCACCACCAGUUUUGGAGCCUGCCGCUUAAUUUAACUCAACACGGGGAAACUGACCAGGUCCAGACAUAGUAAGGUUUGACAGAUUGAGAGCUCUUUCUUGAUUCUAUGGGUGGUGGUGCAUGGCCGUUCUUAGUUGGUGGAGCGAUUUAUCUGGUUAAUUCCAUUAACGAACGAGACCUCAUCAUGCUAACUAGCUACAUGGAGGUGAUCCGCCAUGGCUAGCUUCUUAGAGGGACUAUAGCCUUUUAGGCCAAGGAAGUUUGAGGCAAUAAUAGGUCUGUAAUGCCUUUAGAUUUUCUAGGCCACACGCGCGCCACACUGAUGUAUUCAACGAGUCUAUAGCCUUGGCCAACAUGCUCGAGUAACCUUUGAAAUUUCAUCGUGAUGGGGAUAGAUGAUUGCAAUUGUUAGUCUUCAAUGAGGAAUUCCUAGUAAGCGCGAGUUAUCAGCUUGCGUUGACUAUGUCCCUACCCUUUGUACACACCGCUAUCGCUCCUACCGAUUGAAUGGUCUGGUGAAGCGUUCGGAUCGCAGCGACGUGGGCGAUUCGCUGCCCUCGACGUCACGAAAAGUCCAUUAAACCUUAUCAUUUACAGGAAGGAUAAGUCGUAACAAGGUUUCCGUAGGUGAACCUGCGGAAGGAUCAUUU
Molecule: ribosomal RNA, 1809 nt
Organism: Gossypium arboreum
Lineage: Eukaryota; Viridiplantae; Streptophyta; Magnoliopsida; Malvales; Malvaceae
Rfam family: Eukaryotic small subunit ribosomal RNA
Source: Rfam